GCUGGGCGUGGUGGUGCACACCUGUAAUCCAAGCUGCUUGGGAGGCUGAGGCAGAAGGAUUGCAGGUUUGAGGUCAGCCUGGGCAACUCAGUGAGAGCCUGUCUCAA
RNAcentral lists this small RNA (107 nucleotides) under Marmota monax (woodchuck). The record is from RNAcentral. Lineage: Eukaryota; Metazoa; Chordata; Mammalia; Rodentia; Sciuridae.